Molecule: ribosomal RNA, 320 nt
Filed under: uncultured eukaryote
Lineage: Eukaryota
Description: partial 18S ribosomal RNA
Rfam family: Eukaryotic small subunit ribosomal RNA
Source: RNAcentral
CCCCUAGAUGUUCUGGGCCGCACGUGCGCUACACUGAACAGUUCAACAAGUCUUAACCUUGGCCGAUAGGUCUGGGUAAUCUUUGAACGCUGUUCGUGAUUGGGAUAGACCUUUGCAAUUAUGGGUCUUCAACGAGGAAUUCCUAGUAAACGCAAGUCAUCAGCUUGCAUUGAUUACGUCCCUGCCCUUUGUACACACCGCCCGUCGCACCUACCGAUUGAAUGGUCCGGUGAAAUCUCGGGACGGCGGCUUGGUCGCUUGCGUCCGACUGCUGAAACUUGAUUAAACCAUAUCAUUUAGAGGAAGGUGAANUCGUAACA